UCUGAAUCUGCGUACGGCUCCGCACACCAGUUGUAAACCAAAGCAAGCAAGCCCGGUUUCGACGCCUUUCGGGGCUAGAAGCCGGGCUACAAGGAUAACCCUGGUAAUUCUGAGGCUAAUACUUGACACAGAACCUGCCGACUGGGCUUCGGUUCGGGAAGCGGGGGAUGUGCGACUAUCGGGCCAACAAAACCGGAAAGAGCGCACGUUCAGACCACUUAAAAAGGCUUCGGGUCCCUCGGGAUCCGGGGUUGUGGCUCUUGCAGCGUGCUUCUGACCUAUCAACUAGACGGCAGCCUAAGGGACAUGCUUUGGU
RNAcentral lists this ribosomal RNA (316 nucleotides) under Meriderma carestiae. RNAcentral describes it as "SSU rRNA". It matches the Rfam family "Eukaryotic small subunit ribosomal RNA", at positions 80 to 350 of the family's 1831-position model. Lineage: Eukaryota; Evosea; Eumycetozoa; Stemonitida; Stemonitidae. The record is from RNAcentral.